UACGAAGGGUGCAAGCGUUAAUCGGAAUUACUGGGCGUAAAGGGAGCGUAGGCGGCUUUUUAAGUCGGAUGUGAAAUCCCCGGGCUUAACCUGGGAAUGGCAUCCGAUACUGGGGAGCUAGAGUUUGGGAGAGGGUGAUGGAAUUCCCGGUGUAGCAGUGAAAUGCGUAGAUAUCGGGAGGAAUACCGAUGGCGAAGGCAGGUCUCUGGGCUGACACUGACGCUCAUGCACGAAAGCGUGGGGAGCAAACAGG
RNAcentral lists this ribosomal RNA (253 nucleotides) under uncultured bacterium. Its description in RNAcentral is "partial 16S ribosomal RNA". It matches the Rfam family "Bacterial small subunit ribosomal RNA", at positions 524 to 776 of the family's 1533-position model. The record is from RNAcentral.